RNAcentral lists this ribosomal RNA (491 nucleotides) under uncultured bacterium. Its description in RNAcentral is "partial 16S ribosomal RNA". It matches the Rfam family "Bacterial small subunit ribosomal RNA", at positions 28 to 507 of the family's 1533-position model. The record is from RNAcentral.
GAUGAACGCUGGCUACAGGCUUAACACAUGCAAGUCGAGGGGAAACGACGGGGAAGCUUGCUUCCCCGGGCGUCGACCGGCGCACGGGUGAGUAACGCGUAUCCAACCUGCCUCUGACUGAGGGAUAACCCGUCGAAAGUCGGCCUAAUACCUCAUGGCAUCGUCUGCGGGCAUCCAACGACGAUUAAAGAUUUCAUCGGUCAGGGAUGGGGAUGCGUCUGAUUAGCUUGUUGGCGGGGUAACGGCCCACCAAGGCUACGAUCAGUAGGGGUUCUGAGAGGAAGGUCCCCCACAUUGGAACUGAGACACGGUCCAAACUCCUACGGGAGGCAGCAGUGAGGAAUAUUGGACAAUGGGCGGGAGCCUGAACCAGCCAAGUAGCGUGCAGGAUGACGGCCCUAUGGGUUGUAAACUGCUUUUAUGCGGGGAUAAAGUGAGGGACGUGUCCUUCAUUGCAGGUACCGCAUGAAUAAGGACCGGCUAAUUCCGUG